This is a long non-coding RNA of Pelmatolapia mariae (spotted tilapia), 501 nucleotides long. RefSeq lists it as uncharacterized. The transcript is spliced from 3 exons. The record is from RefSeq and is a predicted model, not a curated record. Lineage: Eukaryota; Metazoa; Chordata; Actinopteri; Cichliformes; Cichlidae.
ACCUCGCGCUAAAAUGAUUUGUCCUUUCGUGACGUCACCGAUAGUGGGAGGUGGGGCACAACAAGUAAGUCUUCAGUCGUCAUCAAGGCGGUUCUUGUCGAGAGGACAUUGAAUAUCCGAGGAGAGUCCAGCAAAGCCUAAGAGCUCAGAAAAAUACAAGAAGUCCUUCAGGAGGAAGCUGGAGUUCAAGCUUCAGCAGAACACCACAGGGGAUGUGUGGAGUAGAAUGAAGAAAAUCACUGGGUUUAAAGUGACAACCGGUGGGCAGCCCGGAGAUAGGAAAUGAGCUGAACAGUUUCUUCAUUCACAGCCCAUAUCCACAUGGGUCACGGAAAGACUGGCCCUGGCCCACCUGAGACAGGUUGCAGAAGAUUGCUGCUCCUCCCUGAGCCUGGUUCUGCUGGAGAUCUCUUCCUGUUAAAAGGCGGUGUGGCCUUUUCAUUCUCGCCAAAGCGCUUACUCACAGUGGGUCAUAUGAUUGUUCUCAUUUUCUCUGUAUUA